Molecule: ribosomal RNA, 497 nt
Filed under: uncultured bacterium
Lineage: Bacteria
Description: partial 16S ribosomal RNA
Rfam family: Bacterial small subunit ribosomal RNA
Source: RNAcentral
GAUGAACGCUGGCGGCGUGCCUAACACAUGCAAGUCGAGCGAACAGACGAUGCGCUUGUUCCUCUGACGUUAGCGGCGGACGGGUGAGUAACACGUGGAUAACCUACCUAUAAUACUGGGAUAACUUCGGGACACCGGAGCUAAUACCGGAUAAUCUAUUGAACCGCAUGGUUCAAUAGUGAAAGACGGCUUUGCUGUCACUUAUAGAUGGAUCCGCGCCGCAUUAGCUAGUUGGUAAGGUAACGGCUUACCAAGGCAACGAUGCGUAGCCGACCUGAGAGGGUGAUCGGCCGCACUGGAAGUGAGACACGGUCCAGACGCCUACGGGAGGCAGCAGUCGGGAAUCUUCCGCAAUGGGCGAAAACCUGACGGAGCAACGGCGCGUGAGUGAUGAAGGUCUUCGGAUCGGAAAGCUCUGUUAUGAGGGAAGAACAAAUGUGUCAGUAACUAUGCACGUCUUGACGGUACCGAAUAAGAAAGCCACGGCUAACUACGUG